AUGCAGAAUCUGUUGGAAAACAUUGAAACAGAGAAACCAAAAAUAGUAACUGAAUUUAAGCAACUGCGUGAAUUCCUAGACGAAAAAGAACAGGACUUGCUGACUCAAUUGCAAGUUCUGAAUAAAGAGAUUCAAAACAUCUGUAAUGAAAAGACUGCCAGACUUUCUGAGAAAAUGUCCUCUAUGGAGACAGAUAUCAAGAAGAUGGAAGAAAAACAUAACCAGCCAGAAAAUGAAUUGUUGCAGGACAUCAAAGGAUCAUUGAAAAGGUAUAAGAAGGAAAAAUUUGAGGUGCCCCAAACUUUAUUUCUUCAUCAAAGGAAGCAUAUUGAACAUUUUGGUAAAAUCCAUGAUAGUUUGCAAACUGCCAUCAAUACAUUCAAAGCCACUAUAUUUUCACCGACUCCAGAGCAAGGAGGAUCUAGCAAGAACUGCCCCAUACCAGUUCGUAGUGUGCAAAUGAUACCCAAAUAUGGAUUUUUUGAAUUUCUUGAUUCCUUAGAGCAUAAGCGUUUGGAAAAACCAGAAUCUCCAUAGCCUUCUGGAAACGUGACCUUUUGGAAAUUAAUUGGCAUUCACACUAUUUGGAAUAAUCAAAACCUUUUUUGUAAAGUGUGAUCUUCCUGAGAAGAGCUAAAAACUCAUUUGAGUCAAUCCUCUCUUUAGUGGUAAUUAUUCACUAGUAUCCAUGCAAGGCCAUUUAGAUUUCUCAGCUAUUAGACUGAUAUUUCUUUGAACUGUUGGGAACAAAGUUUAUGCCAAUGCACAAAAAUAUACAACGGAUCUUCAGAAGUGUUAUUUCAGUUGCCCAAAAACAACUAUCUCCCAUAAAAUAUAUUUGGUUUUAUAUCAUGCUCUCAAGAGACAAAAUGAUUAGUCUUUGUUAAAAGUAAUAUAGUUGAUUUACCUACAAACUUCAUGUAUUCAGCAUAUAGGUACAUUGCUUAUCAAUCCAGUUACAGAUAGGUUUGAAGUAGUUUCUCUGUACAGAUAACACAGGACAUCCUUCUUAUAAUCGACAGCAACAUCUUUACAUUCUGAGAGUCUGUAUAAUUGCUGUAUAAUUGCUUUGAGCCCCCUUAGGGGUGAGAAAAGCAGUCUAUAAAUGAAUAAAUAUAAAUAAAUACAUAAAUAAAUACAUAAAAAGAGAUCUGGAUAAAACUGCCACAGAUUGCCACGGAGGCCCAAAUUAUUAACUUCAUUUUCAUGUUGGCAAUUUAGAAAUGUAUCUAUAAUUUGAAAUGUUGUUAUUCUUAAUAUGAGGGCAGUAAUGGUUUAGGUUAAUAUCCUUUGUGUUUUUUAUGUUCAAUAUUCUGUAAAUUGUAAAUUCCUUUGACAUGGACAUUAGCUAACAAUAAAUGUAUUGAAUGCUACCUGAUUCUUGGGUUUUUUUUACAGUAGUUUUGGUAGAGAACAUAUUUUUGGAAAAAGCAAUGCAGCCCUUUGACAGGACAAAAGGGGAUUAAAUGAUUUGCCAGGUACCUUAUUGAGUUUUUUUAUUUCAACUAUUAUAUUCAGCCAUUUGUCUUAAAUAACAGAAUUUUAACCAAGAGUAAACAAAAGAAUGAACAAAUUCCAAGGGCACAAACAGUAAUAAUUUGGCAAAAUAGAGAAAAGAAGCUACCAUUGUUUAGCACUUUAAAGUGGGGAUGUCAUAACUGAAAUAGAAUGUUGAGAAUAUAAAACUUGGUUGAUCUCACACAGUGCCAUUAAUCACAGCAACAGCAAUACCAGGGUCUUCUCCAAAGGAUAACUUGUCCCCGUUUCACCCCUAAAGUAGUGGGCAUGCCAUUCAAGCGGGCAUUUAUAUCCCCUAUCAGGCAGGGGGACAGAAGAAGACAAUGUUGCUGGCUAAGAACCUGGGCAGUUUGGGCUCUGUCAUGCAGAGAGGUCUUUUCUACAUACAGACAGAUAAUUUCCGGGAGAGAGAGAAUUCAGAGGGCUUAAGAAGGAUUUUCAAAAUGAUACUAUGGGACCAAGGGAAAAGGAUGGGAAAAAAUAGUUUUGCAUUUAAACUAACUUCAAAAGUGAUCUAGAAGCUUGCAUCUCCUGAUGAAGAAAUUUUGUGCUACAUUUAUUUUCACAUUUUUGAACCAGAUCUAUUUCUUCUGGGUAAUAAAUGAAGGGACAUAGUGGUUUCAGCGUUGGACUCUGGAUAUUAGGGACCAAAUCCCUAAUCAGCAUUAAAUAUUCAUUUGCAAUUCACAU
Molecule: long non-coding RNA, 2208 nt
Organism: Anolis carolinensis (green anole)
Lineage: Eukaryota; Metazoa; Chordata; Lepidosauria; Squamata; Anolidae
Source: Ensembl